UGAUAUAAACCUUAAGUGGUUUGAGUGCCAGACUAUGACUCUGGAGAUCAGGGUUCGAAUCCCUGCUUGGCUA
This is a non-coding RNA of Phrynosoma platyrhinos (Desert horned lizard), 73 nucleotides long. The record is from the annotation of a GenBank genome assembly. Lineage: Eukaryota; Metazoa; Chordata; Lepidosauria; Squamata; Phrynosomatidae.